This 1393-nucleotide ribosomal RNA is filed under the name uncultured bacterium. RNAcentral's name for it is "bacterial SSU rRNA". It matches the Rfam family "Bacterial small subunit ribosomal RNA". The record is from RNAcentral.
AGAGUUUGAUCCUGGCUCAGGAUGAACGCUGGCGGCGUGCUUAACACAUGCAAGUCGAACGGAGAUUAAUUUAACAGAGACUUCGGUUGAAGUUGUUUUAAUCUUAGUGGCGGACGGGUGAGUAACGCGUGGGUAACCUGCCUCACACUGGGGGAUAACAGCCAGAAAUGGCUGCUAAUACCGCAUAAGCGCACAGAGACGCAUGUCUCAGUGUGGAAAACUCCGGUGGUGUGAGAUGGACCCGCGUUGGAUUAGCUAGUUGGCAGGGCAGCGGCCUGCCAAGGCGACGAUCCAUAGCCGGCCUGAGAGGGUGAACGGCCUCAUUGGGACUGAGACACGGCCCAGACUCCUACGGGAGGCAGCAGUGGGGAAUAUUGCACAAUGGGGGAAACCCUGAUGCAGCGACGCCGCGUGAAGGAAGAAGUAUCUCGGUAUGUAAACUUCUAUCAGCAGGGAAGAUAAUGACGGUACCUGACUAAGAAGCCCCGGCUAACUACGUGCCAGCAGCCGCGGUAAUACGUAGGGGGCAAGCGUUAUCCGGAUUUACUGGGUGUAAAGGGCGUGUAGGCGGAGAUGCAAGUCGGGAGUGAAAUCCAUGGGCUCAACCCAUGAACUGCUUUCGAAACUGUAUCCCUUGAGUAUCGGAGAGGCAAGCGGAAUUCCUAGUGUAGCGGUGAAAUGCGUAGAUAUUAGGAGGAACACCAGUGGCGAAGGCGGCUUGCUGGACGACAACUGACGCUGAGGCGCGAAAGCGUGGGGAGCAAACAGGAUUAGAUACCCUGGUAGUCCACGCUGUAAACGAUGAAUACUAGGUGUGGGAGGACUGACCCCUUCCGUGCCGCAGUUAACACAAUAAGUAUUCCACCUGGGGAGUACGACCGCAAGGUUGAAACUCAAAGGGAUUGACGGGGGCCCGCACAAGCAGUGGAUUAUGUGGUUUAAUUCGACGCAACGCGAAGAACCUUACCAGGAUUUGACAUCCAACUAACGAAGCAGAGAUGCAUUAGGUGCCCUUCGGGGAAAGUUGAGACAGGUGGUGCAUGGUUGUCGUCAGCUCGUGUCGUGAGAUGUUGGGUUAAGUCCCGCAACGAGCGCAACCCUUAUCCUUAGUAGCCAGCAGUAAGAUGGGCACUCUAGGGAGACUGCCAGGGAUAACCUGGAGGAAGGUGGGGAUGACGUCAAAUCAUCAUGCCCCUUAUGAUUUGGGCUACACACGUGCUACAAUGGCGUAAACAAAGAGAAGCGAGCCUGCGAGGGGGAGCAAAUCUCAAAAAUAACGUCUCAGUUCGGAUUGCAGGCUGCAACUCGCCUGCAUGAAGCUGGAAUCGCUAGUAAUCGCGGAUCAGAAUGCCGCGGUGAAUACGUUCCCGGGUCUUGUACACACCGCCCGUCA